This is a long non-coding RNA of Panicum virgatum (switchgrass), 3921 nucleotides long. RefSeq lists it as uncharacterized. The record is from RefSeq and is a predicted model, not a curated record. The transcript is spliced from 2 exons. Lineage: Eukaryota; Viridiplantae; Streptophyta; Magnoliopsida; Poales; Poaceae.
AUGCUACCCGGACUACAUUGUUUCGUGUUUCCGUCCCCUUCACUUCUCUCCCUUUCUUCUCCAUCCAGCAAGUUCAGCGCAGCGGCGGGGAUCUCCCAUGGCGCGGCUGCGCCGGCGUCGCCACAUCAGGUUGUGCGGGCUGCAUCUAGGUCCUUCCUCUUUUCUCCCUGGGCUGUGAUGAGGUCAGCUUGCACCGUGCUGGAUGAACCAACUAGGAGGUCGCACGGGCUUCGCUCUUCACCAAAUGCUCACAGCAUUGAGCCGGCUCAUGACCCAUGCUCCUCGAGCUCGUCGCUGUGAGGGGUGUUCUCCGCUAGUACUAUUUUCUCCAUUUCCCGUUGGUUUGUGUGUGAGAUGGGUUUUACUAGGUUUGAUAUUUGUAUUUGGUUGUCUGUUGAUUUGCAGCUAUAGGCCUCCAGCUCCUGGCCGGCAGCCCACUCACCGCCUCUUUAGAUCCAGGCUGGGUGCUGUGUCCUUUGCAGGUGAGCAUUUCUAGUUCCCUCCUCUCUGUAUCUGGUUCACCCCAUAUGGAUUCCAUGAUUGCAUUGCAUCAUAUUCCCCCUCCAUUUCAUGGAGUAAGCAUUGCCAACUAUGCUCCUGGAUCUCGAUUUCUGUUGGUCUGGAGCUUCUGUACUUGUUUUCCCCGAUAGAUGUGUAGUGUGUCUCGAUUUGUGCUAUUCUAGGAUUUCCUCUUGUGUUUAUCUGUGAUUUGCACCUGCGCUAUAUAUAUAAUUAGGCUUCUGAAUAGGUAAUAAUGGCAUCCGAUGAUAUUGCAAUAGAAUCCUCACUUCAAAUUUCGUUUAAGUGUAAUUUGUGCAUAGGACAACUAUAAGAAUCUUAAUCUCUAUAUUUCACAAUAUUUUAUAGUGUCAUUUUUCUUCAUGUAUGUAAUUCUAAAGAUAAUGCAUGUGCCCCUUUAUCACUGUGUGUCCUUUAUAUGGCCCCUUUGCCUUGUGUUUCUACUUUCCUGAUUCUUUUUGUGUUGGGGCCAGAAGGGUGUUAGUUUAUUCCUGCCAAUUCUAAUUAUAAUAAUUACAUAUGAGUCCAAAUGGAGCAAAAAAAAUUACUCUACCUCCACUGCAAGGGGUCAGGAUCCUUCUUUUGCAAGCAAGGUAUUUUUCAAGUUUCUUUCCCUAUUAUAGUUUAAAUAUGUUAUAGUUACAGAGAACGAUUUUGUUGUAUCUUAUGUUCUUGCUGGAUGUAAUUUUUUAGUUUGAGGGGUAUAAUCAGUCCUCUUUUAUUCAAUAUUUAGUAGCAUCUGUUCAUAUAUGCAUCUUUGUGGAUUUUAUUUUUGGUGUAUCAACUCGUGCCUAUUCUGUUAAGAUGUGCUGCUACUUUCUUGGAACAUUUAUCAUUUUUUUUGUGUGACACUACAUUCUGGUAGUUGAACUUCCUCUUUUAUUUCAACUAGAGUUGCCUAAUACUAUACUUACACCCCCAAAUUUUGGUGCAUCUUGUGUGUAUGGCCACUAUAAUUUAAAAAAUAUGUGUGCAACUUACAUUAAUCAUUUAUUUUAUUCAUUCUGCAGCAACCAUGUCUUGCUACUAUCCAUUUCUAUUGCCACUUCUAUGUGGUUUUUCUUUUAUGUCUGUUUUCAGAUGCCACAUUGUGCCAACUCUGGAUAUUUUUAAAAUACUCUGGAUAUGAUGUAAAUUGAUUUAAUUCUGAAUUUCUAUUUUCUCCAUGUGUUGAAUUGAUUAACUUGAACUCUUGUUUUUGCUAGAACAACAAUAGUCUGGUACUUAACUUUGUAUGGCAAAUGAUGGUCAUUUAUAAAGCUAUUUACUAUAUAAAGCUCAUAUUACCCAGCUAGGAAUAUUUUUGAACUACUAAUGUCAGUUUCAGUUAAUAAAGCUAUUAGAACAAUUUUUUUUACUUCUCUAGUUUCUGGCAUAUCUAACAGUCUAGACCAGUAACUGAGCUGUCUCUAAAACCUUUGUAUGAACUUUUAUGCAUCAGGUUUCCACCGGUUUCCACCCUACGUUGAUUGGCACCAGAAAGAGUAGCUUUCUGAUAGUCAGUACUUUGUCAAGCAGUGGGUCUCAUGAUGGCACUUAAAAGGCUCCAUAUACACGGAUCUCGCUUUUUACAGGAGGUAUGAUCUCGGAUUCUUUGGCGAUGGCAUAUGUUGUUCAGUGUUUAACAGUAUAAACGCGAGCAUAUGCCAAUCUCCUGGUGCAGCUUUCUUCUUAUGUUGUUUAGUGUUACAUCUAUCAGGUUACAGGGUUGUUGAUUGAUGGUUGUAUCUUGCAUGGCCCAUUUAGAAAACAAUAUUAUGUAAUUUCAUUGACCUUUGGCAUUAUCAAUUUAUUAUUAAAUCAUUUUUCAUAGUCGACUUAGCUGUUUUGAUUAGGUAUGUUAUACCUAUCGUCCAUGGGGCUACUUUAAGGAAUUGCUUUCCCCCCACUUUGUUCAACCUAGAAUGACCACUAUGUUUCAUACAGAUAGCCAAUUUAGUGGCUGGAAUAUCAUUUCAUUUACUGUUCUCCCUUUCCCUUGUGCAUUCCUCAUGAAUGCCUAUUUUUUACUUUCAUAUUCUAACAUUCCGCGAUUUACUAAUUUCACAUGAUCUUAAUGUCUUUUCAUUUUGUUACAACUGUUUUGGCAACCAAUAUUAUUAUUAUUAUUACCCUUGGAGGUUGUUAAGUUCUAUCUUACAAGGUGCAUACUUAAUCCUCUCAUUGUACAUUGUCUUAACAAAACUAAGAUUCAAACCUUCUACUUCUAGCAACUAAUGUCUUUUCUUGCAUUCUGUUGGAAGAAAAUAUUUAUACAUAGGUGUUCUUCACACAUCCCUUGUUUAACCUUAUUUUGUUUGUGUUGUUUUUUAAGAUAAACAUGGACUUGUCUUGUGACGACUAUGGAUGUCUAGGCUUUGCUGAUAUAUAUCUAUCAUUUUUAAGUAGUUAAGUUAUUAAAUUUUGGAAUACAAGAACUAUAAUUAUUAACAUGGACCUGUCUUGUUUUUUCAGGCCAAAAUUUUCUGAUUUUCGUUAUUCAUAUGUGUUUUUUUUUCUUGUUAUCAGCCCAAAAAUUGUACCUCUAAACCUCUAUUUUUAAGCUGUUUUUUCUUGUCAUCAUCCAAAAAUUUGCACUAUAAAUGUGUGUGUUUUCAGAUGUAUUUUUUUCUUGUUAUCAGACUAGAAAUUGUACCAGUAAAUGUGUAUUUUCUUCUUUAGAUCUGUGGGUUUUUGCUUGUUAUAUCAGCUUAGAAAUUGUACCUAUAAAUGUCUGAGUAAAUAUAACUUUAUUAUCAGCUAAAAAUUGUACAUAGGAAAUGAAAGCUUGGAGUCUGAGCAGCAGGAUCACCGGUCACAUAUAAUCUGAGCUGAGGGGUGUGUGUGUUACAGAGCUUCUUUCCUCAAAGCUCUAUAAGUGGCCACUUUUGCUUAAUUUUUAACUCAUUUUGCUGCGUUUUUUGGAUUGCGACACUGAUGAUGAAUGUCUUCUGAUUUUAUUUCAUUUUGUAUCUUACUGAGCAUGUGGAGCGAGUUGUUUUUCUCCUUUGCUUGAGACAUUAAGCCGAGAUUUUCUGAAAGUGACUCCAAGCCUGAGGAUCGAGUAUCAAUAUUAGUCAUUUGACAAGAUCAAGGUGCCAUGACCUCUUCAUCUAAGAAAUCUGCUUUGCUGUGGCUCAUGAGGAACUAAUAGUCUUCAUUAUCCUAAUCAAUAUAUAUUGGGAAAUGGAGAAUAAAAUAACUCAACACGCUUGAAUAUAUAUUUUUAUAGCUGUAAAUUUCUGUUGUGUAGAAACACAGGCAUGCAGCAAGAGGAACAGAUGGAGGACCUUUAGUAUAUAGUAGUAGAUGUUAGCUGCAUGUGAUUGUGUGAUAUGAGUCUUAUUAUAUGCAAAUUACAUGGAUUUUGGUAAUUGUGAUUUUUUUAGCAAAAUUAUAAUUGUAACUUUGUUGUUGCUGAAA